RNAcentral lists this ribosomal RNA (465 nucleotides) under uncultured bacterium. RNAcentral's name for it is "partial 16S ribosomal RNA". It matches the Rfam family "Bacterial small subunit ribosomal RNA", at positions 32 to 507 of the family's 1533-position model. The record is from RNAcentral.
AAUCAACGCUGGCGGCGUGCCUCAGACAUGCAAGUCGAACGAUUAAACUUCCCUUCGGGGAAGAUAUAAAGUGGCGCACGGGUGAGUAACACGUAGGUAAUGUACCUUUGGGUGGGGAAUAACUUAGGGAAACUUAAGCUAAUACCGCAUAAUGCAGCGGCUCCUUCGGGAGACAGUUGUUAAAGAUUUAUCGCCUAAAGAGCAGCCUGCGGCAGAUUAGCUAGUUGGUAAGGUAACGGCUUACCAAGGCUACGAUCUGUAUCCGACCUGAGAGGGUGGUCGGACACACUGACACUGAAUAACAGGUCAGACUCCUACGGGAGGCAGCAGUCGGGAAUUUUGGGCAAUGGGCGAAAGCCUGAACCAGCAACGCCGCGUGAAGGAUGAAGUCUUUCGGGAUGUAAACUUCGUAAGAAUAGGAAGAAUAAAUGACGGUACUAUGUGUAAGGUCCGGCUAACUACGUG